Molecule: long non-coding RNA, 1829 nt
Filed under: Malus domestica (apple)
Lineage: Eukaryota; Viridiplantae; Streptophyta; Magnoliopsida; Rosales; Rosaceae
Description: long non-coding RNA (MDOM_LNC010092)
Source: RNAcentral
AAAUUUGUCCCAAAAUGAAGCUUGUAACUAGAAGAACAAAACCUUACCAAUUUCAAGGCUUGAAAUCCACGGAAUCUCGACGGAGAAAACUCGAUAAUCUGGCCAAAACUUACAACUCGUCAAACUCGACUUCCCGACGUCCAAAUUAUUUGGUUUUUCUUCUCCGAUCUUUGUAAGGACAUUCGAAAGCUUCCUACAAGCUUAAAAUCUCUUGAAACAUCCAUAAUUACGACCACAUGAACAUUACCUCAAAACUGGGAUAUCGGUUCCUCGGGUUUUCAAAGUUUUCAAGUCCUAAAAAUGAUACGAAUGGACUCAGGAGCUUGUAGGGAACAAGAAUAUUUCCUUUUUAACGUCGAUCCGUGAAGAAACAUGUUGGUUCGAAGAUGGUCCGUACAAUGGUACGGACGAUGGCAGAAAUCCGAGAAAGGGAGGGUCAACGGGUUGUGUUUUUGUGUGUGUAUGGAUGUGUGUGGUCCUAAUUGGCUACCAAACAGCACAAACAAAUUCCUUUAGUUCCAAAUACUUAGGAAUAAAAAGGAUUGGUCCAAAAUAAUUAGAACUUAGCAUAUUGGUCCACCACCCAAGUCUAAACCACACAACACAACUCAAAACGUCCAAGGCAUUUAAGUAAUUUCAGACCGUCGAGGGUAAAAAUAAACAUAUCUGGGACUGACUAUGACAAAUAUCCACUUAGAUAAACACACAUAAUAUCACCUACUGAUCUUGAAGGUGAUAUUAUGAAGAAUUCACUUAAUUAAACCUCAUAAUAUCACCUACUAAUCUUGAAGGAUUCACUUAAUUAAACUCAUAAUCCCAUAAAGUUCGUACCAAAUAAAAUCAUAGUUAAAAUAAACACACAUAUCACCCUUGUUAGCUCAUAAAAUGGGAGCAAUAAUAAACUAUAUAUAAUGAUGUGAUUUGGCAAAAUAAAAUAAUUUUAUUUGAAGCAUGUAAAAGUACGAUUAGCCUUUAAACGAGAGUCCCAUAAGGCCAUCUCUAUCUAAAGGGCUAAACAUAGCCCUUUUUAGAAGUAUAGAAUUGCAAGAAAUUAUUCUUUAAUAAACAGUAUCAUGUCACAUUCAUAUACUAUCUUCAUCCGAAUGAGCUAAAUAUACUCAUCUUUAAUAAUUUAUUAGCUAUAAGUUUAUUAUUUAAAUUUAUUGGUUAAUUUAAUUAAACUACUACUUAUACCAUAUUAAAAUAAAUUUAUCUAGACAUGAGUUUUUAAUGCCAUGUAUUGUUAAAUGAAUAAGUUUCCAAAUUUCUUAUCUUUAUGUAUUCUCAAUAAUAUUUCAGAUAUAAUUUUUGAGGAUUAAGAGGGUGUGAGAAAUGGUUUAGAAAUGAGAUGGGUACUCAUAGGAAAAAGUUAGAAACUUUUUGAAUUAAAAAAAGAAAAUAGUAUAUAGGUAACUGUUGGAGAUUCAAAUAUAGUCGUUGGAUUCUUUCAAACCUGAUUGUUGAAUUUGUAAACAGAUUGUAGCUGUUGUUACUAGGCCCAACAAACGGGCUAGGUAUCAGGCCAGCCAAUCUGAUGAGAGAUUUUUCAGUGUGAUCCGUACACGAGGUGGUACACUACGUGUCAUUAUACAAUUUGUGGGAUAUGUGUGCUAAAAAAGUUAAUAACUUAAAAAAUAAAAUUUCUCACCAUUUCUAUUAAAACAUGUGGUGUACCACUUAUGUUCCCGUCAUAAUUAAAUUUUUUUCCAAUCUGAUGGCAUUUUAGCCAUGUUUUGGUCUAGUGGGCUCCAUUGAUAUGAGUUUUGUCCAAAUUAGACCAUAUUUUUGCUUUUUAGCUCUCUUCAUUCGAAAUGAUUAAAAUUAAAUAA